GAGUUCUUACGUGAUUAUAAUGAAUGAGCGAGGUUACCAAUGACUGCCCAAGUGCCCUGCUAUAUAGCAGGAGGUUCCUGAGGCUGCCUCCCAACCGCCGGUCACUGAGUCCUGGCACAGAAAGUUCCCGGGGAAAGUGAGGAGUUUCAGGGUACCCUCAUAAAAAUAUCCCAGUCUUCCCACUGCUCCCUUGCCCACUGCUCAGGUCACAGCGGGGGCUCUGGGAAAGCUGAGCUCGACUCGGGAGAUUUCCCUGUCUCCAGAACUAAAGGUGGAAGAAACCCACAAAAGGUGAAGAAGAAGGAAAGGUUUUUAACAUUUUGGCCACUGAAAUCUUAUCAUACAUCAGAGCCUGGAACUCUGCCACCCAUCCACUUGGCCAAUGCUGGACCAGAAAUGUUGAAUGUAAGUCACUGUGGGUUUUUUGGUUUUUCAAAAAUAGAAGAAAAGAGAUUUGGCUAGAAUGUGGCAUGUCUGGGUUUCCAAAUACAUCUGCCAAUACAGAGAAAUGAAGGCCACAGGGCAUGCUAUUGUAGGUAGCUUUACA
Molecule: long non-coding RNA, 547 nt
Filed under: Sus scrofa (pig)
Lineage: Eukaryota; Metazoa; Chordata; Mammalia; Artiodactyla; Suidae
Description: lncRNA (ENSSSCG00025067257.1, ENSSSCG00055012955.1)
Source: RNAcentral